This 1739-nucleotide long non-coding RNA is filed under the name Ficedula albicollis (Collared flycatcher). RNAcentral's name for it is "lncRNA (ENSFALG00000023444.1)". The record is from RNAcentral. Lineage: Eukaryota; Metazoa; Chordata; Aves; Passeriformes; Muscicapidae.
ACUUACUACUGAUCCCAGGCAACUCAGGCCUUUGGUGUUUUCUUGACAGCCCUGGGAGCUUGUGUGAGCUAGAACAGGCUUUGCAGAGCUUUUGUAAUGUACUGUGAUUUGUUUUAAACUAGAAUAUCCUUCCUUCAGCUGUAACUGCUUCUACCACAUUAGUUUUUGGAGUAGACUGGAGUACCUCUCCAGAAAGUAGUUUGUAACCAUUUUUGCUUUAACCACUUACUUAUAUGAGAAGCUUGCUAUAAGUUUGUUGAAAAAUUGGAUCUUGUUCUGGUUACCUUCUUGGCUUUAAAUGUGGUGUAGGAAAAUAAAGGGGUCAACCCUCCAAAUAAAAAAAUAUUCUCUUUCCCCUGCUGUCCAGCACCCUGUCCUCUUAAAAAAAACUAAGAAAAAACCAUACCAAAAAACAGCAGCAAAACCAAACAGGUAGUGUAUUUCACCAUGAAACCUUCUGUGUUGGUCCUGCCAAGAAACACAACAGUAUUCAUUAAUUUUGUACUUAUUUAAAAGCUUUUGUACAAUGUUCCUUCCAAACCAAACAAAAACCAAUAUAAAAUUUCUCUUAUACUGAAAUGAUGUACAAAGAGCAGCAUUUGGGACAGUUUAUCUAAGAGUAGACCACAACCACCAUCAUCUUAAUCCUAAGAGUGCUACCUUGUAAGUUUAGUUUCUUACACCAUAUUCUCUAUUUUUUCAUUACUACUCCCCAGAUUAUUACCAGCAGUAUUCGGAGUCAUAACAAAGUAAUUUUUAAUUCUUUGCUGUUAGAAUUUCAGCCAAAUUCAGCCUUUCUGAUGGUCUGUUCAGUGACACUUUCCUGGUGGGAGGAUGCCCUCAGCAGACAUAGGGUGGGGUUGCUGCUCCAGAACCCUCUGUGCCUGUCUGCUAGAGAGGUGAUGGAUUGGCCAAGGAUCUCUGUAAGGCUGCACCUUCUGUGUGUCAGAGCUGAGCCACUAACAGACUAGGACAGAUUUUCCACCGAGUCUGUCCUGCCUUGUCCUUUAUAUUGCUCUCAAUUUGCCCUGGCCAGUGGAUGGGUGAGAUCUGGUCCAUAAUAAGGUUGUGCUCAUACCUUCUCUUCUGGCAAUGCUUACAGGACAAUCUGAUUGCUGCAAGGCUCUAGGAAGAGGUAAAGAGGUGGGGAUAGAACAGAGUCAAAAUCAAAGCUGUUAGAAAAGCUUAGCCUCAGGGCCAUGUGAACCAGGCCAUGUCCUCCUAACACAUAUUGGGUGAUGAAAGUGGUCUCCUACAUUCCAGGUAGCAGUGAAUAAUUAUCUGGGCUAAAGGAUAUUAAACUGAGGGAAUUCCAGAGUCUCAAGGAAAACACAUCUGAAUUUGAAUUAUUUAAUUCUGAUUUUGAUCUCUUGUUCUCCUUUCUGUUAUUUAUGACGAAAACAAUUUUAUUCAUUUACAAAAAGCAAGGAGUCAUUAGCGUGCUGAUUAUACAGUUUAAGUUAACUUCUGAAUCAGUAAUAAAGCCAAACCCAAAAUCAUGGGCCAGGUCUUAGAACCCUUCAGAACAAUGUUAAAAAUCCCAAGGAUAUUUUGCAAAAUAAACCAAACAUCUCUCUUCCUUGGCUUUUCUGUCUUUAAACUGCCGGACACGAAUAUUUCACUUUCCAUCUCCAUAAUACGUGCUAAAAUAUAAUGUUAUAUAUAAUAUAUAUAAUAGGGGGGGGGGGGGGGGGGGGGGGGGGGGGGGGGGGGGGGGGGGGGGGGGGGGGGGGGGGGGG